AUUGAACGCUGGCGGCAGGCCUAACACAUGCAAGUCGAACGGUAGCACAGAGAGCUUGCUCUCGGGUGACGAGUGGCGGACGGGUGAGUAAUGUCUGGGAAACUGCCCGAUGGAGGGGGAUAACUACUGGAAACGGUAGCUAAUACCGCAUAACGUCGCAAGACCAAAGUGGGGGACCUUCGGGCCUCACACCAUCGGAUGUGCCCAGAUGGGAUUAGCUAGUAGGUGGGGUAAUGGCUCACCUAGGCGACGAUCCCUAGCUGGUCUGAGAGGAUGACCGGCCACACUGGAACUGAGACACGGUCCAGACUCCUACGGGAGGCAGCAGUGGGGAAUAUUGCACAAUGGGCGCAAGCCUGAUGCAGCCAUGCCGCGUGUAUGAAGAAGGCCUUCGGGUUGUAAAGUACUUUCAGCGGGGAGGAAGGCGGUGAAGUUAAUAACCGCAUUGAUUGACGUUACCCGCAGAAGAAGCACCGGCUAACUCCGUGCCAGCCGCCGCCGUAA
RNAcentral lists this ribosomal RNA (504 nucleotides) under uncultured bacterium. RNAcentral's name for it is "partial 16S ribosomal RNA". It matches the Rfam family "Bacterial small subunit ribosomal RNA", at positions 30 to 523 of the family's 1533-position model. The record is from RNAcentral.